Molecule: unclassified non-coding RNA, 186 nt
Filed under: Paraglomus sp.
Lineage: Eukaryota; Fungi; Glomeromycota; Glomeromycetes; Paraglomerales; Paraglomeraceae
Description: partial contains 5.8S ribosomal RNA and internal transcribed spacer 2
Rfam family: 5.8S ribosomal RNA (bases 1-66)
Source: RNAcentral
GUGAAUCAUCGAAUCUUUGAACGCAAAUUGCGCCCUCUUUCGGGAGGCAUGUCUGUUUGAGGGCACCAUUUAACAAAUAAUGUGCGGGUUGCUAUGCGGCAUGCAUCCGUUGAUGAGCUUUUCCGAAAAACCAGGUUUUUGUGGAGGUGCAUAAUGAAUAGCGUGGGCGUUUUCUUUUGCUUCUCG